This 770-nucleotide ribosomal RNA is filed under the name Leuconostoc sp. BGM28. RNAcentral describes it as "bacterial SSU rRNA". It matches the Rfam family "Bacterial small subunit ribosomal RNA", at positions 56 to 811 of the family's 1533-position model. Lineage: Bacteria; Bacillati; Bacillota; Bacilli; Lactobacillales; Lactobacillaceae. The record is from RNAcentral.
UGCAGUCGACGCACAGCGAAAGGUGCUUGCACCUUUCAAGUGAGUGGCGAACGGGUGAGUAACACGUGGACAACCUGCCUCAAGGCUGGGGAUAACAUUUGGAAACAGAUGCUAAUACCGAAUAAAACUCAGUGUCGCAUGACACAAAGUUAAAAGGCGCUUUGGCGUCACCUAGAGAUGGAUCCGCGGUGCAUUAGUUAGUUGGUGGGGUAAAGGCCUACCAAGACAAUGAUGCAUAGCCGAGUUGAGAGACUGAUCGGCCACAUUGGGACUGAGACACGGCCCAAACUCCUACGGGAGGCUGCAGUAGGGAAUCUUCCACAAUGGGCGAAAGCCUGAUGGAGCAACGCCGCGUGUGUGAUGAAGGCUUUCGGGUCGUAAAGCACUGUUGUAUGGGAAGAACAGCUAGAAUAGGGAAUGAUUUUAGUUUGACGGUACCAUACCAGAAAGGGACGGCUAAAUACGUGCCAGCAGCCGCGGUAAUACGUAUGUCCCGAGCGUUAUCCGGAUUUAUUGGGCGUAAAGCGAGCGCAGACGGUUAAUUAAGUCUGAUGUGAAAGCCCGGAGCUCAACUCCGGAAUGGCAUUGGAAACUGGUUAACUUGAGUGCAGUAGAGGUAAGUGGAACUCCAUGUGUAGCGGUGGAAUGCGUAGAUAUAUGGAAGAACACCAGUGGCGAAGGCGGCUUACUGGACUGUAACUGACGUUGAGGCUCGAAAGUGUGGGUAGCAAACAGGAUUAGAUACCCUGGUAGUCCACACCGUAACGAUG